GGUUGCAGCUUCCGCUUCUCUCUCUUGACCCGGUCGUGCCUGGAGGAAGACGCCGAGGCGGGAGGUUUAAGUAUCCCGGUUUAAGUCUCCUUAGGCGAGGAAGGCUUCUCUUUCUAGCAGGUCCAGAUAUCCUGAGUCUCCCGGAAACUGCAGGAGGGGACAGGACCCGACUUCGAGACUGUAGGGUGGGGUGAGGGGAUGAGGGCCUCCUGACCUGGCUAAGCACCUUGGAGGGAACCCUGGCCACGAGGGAUCCAAGCACCGCUCUGGUUUCCCAGAAGCCUGUGGAUGACUCUCAUCUGGCGGUGGACCUCAGAUGGGGCAGUGAAAGAGGGGAAGACAAAAAUCUGGCGAGCGAGCUGCCCGGGCCGAGACUGGCCACUUCAAACAGCCCUUCAAACAAAAGGAGACGACGAAAAGAAAGCCCCACCUGUCUCCAGUGUUUGCUAAAAUAAUAAUAAAUAGAUUUCGUUUAAUAAAUAAUUACAAGAGAUUGUAAA
Long non-coding RNA from Homo sapiens (human), 500 nucleotides. The record is from Ensembl. Lineage: Eukaryota; Metazoa; Chordata; Mammalia; Primates; Hominidae.